This 397-nucleotide long non-coding RNA is filed under the name Salvia miltiorrhiza (redroot sage). RNAcentral describes it as "long non-coding RNA (SMIL_LNC004041)". The record is from RNAcentral. Lineage: Eukaryota; Viridiplantae; Streptophyta; Magnoliopsida; Lamiales; Lamiaceae.
CGAUUGGGUACUUAGCGUGCUGCAGUUUUCGCUUGUUUAAGGUUGUCCUGCGUGUUUUGCUAGGCUUCUUUGUUUGAUCUCUUUGGUUUGACGAGCUCAUUUUCAAUACUCGGGUCCUUAGUCUGCUAUCUUGUGCUUUCAAGGGAUCCUAUUUUUUCUUUUUUCUUUUUUUUUUUAUAAAAUCUCAAUUUAAUAACAAGUUUAAAUAUACAAAUUAAGAACUAGUUGUAGUAUUUAGACAAUGUGGGAAGUUUGCCUAACACCACAAUUGAGAAAAGGCAAUAUUGACAGCAAAUGAAGUUCGAACAACAAUGGUCUAAUCACAAGAGAGCCAUGAGGAGCACCAACGAUUUAUCCUCCACGAAGAUCGGAAAAUUAACUGUUGCUUGUCGUUGCC